Grus americana (Whooping crane) is the source of this 5399-nucleotide RNA transcript. It is a transcript of the gene named calcium dependent secretion activator 2, with no coding region annotated. Lineage: Eukaryota; Metazoa; Chordata; Aves; Gruiformes; Gruidae. The transcript has 29 exons. The record is from RefSeq and is a predicted model, not a curated record.
GGCCGCCGCCGGUCGGAAAUAGUCUGUGUGUAAACUCGACGUGUCCGGAAAGGUGCGCGCAGCUCUCCGCCUCGCUCCGCGCCCGGCUGCGGGGCGCGUCCGCCGAGCGCGAUGCUGGACCCGUCCUCCAGCGAGGAGGAGUCCGAUGAGGUGCUGGAAGAGGAGCGGCGGGACGUGCUGGUGGCGGCGGGCGGCGGCUCUCCGCGCUCGCUGCCGCCGCCGCCCCGGGACCCGCGGGGCAGGGAGGCCGGGGCGGCGCGGGCGGCCAGCCCCAGCCCCUCGGUGCUGAGCGAGGGCCGGGAGGAGCAGGAGCGCCUGCAGCGAGAGGAGCGGGAGAAGCGGCUCCGGCUGCAGCUCUACGUGUUCAUCGCGAGGUGCAUCGCGCACCCCUUCAACGCCAAGCAGCCCACGGACAUGGCCCGCCGGCAGCAGAAGCUCAAUAAGCAGCAGCUACAGAUACUGAAGGAACGUUUCCAGGCCUUUUUGAAUGGGGAGACACAAAUCGUAGCAGAUGAAGCAUUUUGCAAUGCUGUGCGAAGUUACUACGAGGUAUUUCUCAAGAGUGACCGGGUUGCAAGAAUGGUCCACAGUGGAGGAUGUUCUGCAAAUGACUUUAGAGAUGUUUUUAAGAAAAACAUAGAAAAGAGAGUCCGAAGUUUGCCAGAAAUCGAUGGAUUAAGCAAAGAGACAGUGUUAAGUUCUUGGCUAGCCAAAUACGAUGCCAUAUACAGGGGAGAAGAGGACUUUUGCAAACAGCCGAAUAGAAUGGCCUUAAGUGCUGUAUCAGAGCUGAUUCUGAGCAAGGAACAGCUUUAUGAAAUGUUUCAGCAGAUUCUAGGGAUCAAAAAAUUGGAACAUCAGUUGAUUUAUAAUGCCUGCCAACUGGAUAAUGGAGAUGAGCAAGCGGCCCAGAUCAGACGUGAACUAGAUGGACGACUACAACUGGCAGAACAAAUGGCAAGGGAAAGAAAAUUCCCAAAGUUUGUAACAAGAGAAAUGGAGAACAUGUACAUAGAAGAAUUGCGGUCUUCGGUGAAUUUGCUGAUGGCAAAUUUGGAAAGUCUUCCUGUGUCUAAAGGUGGGCCGGAAUUCAAACUGCAGAAGUUAAAGCGAUCACAGAAUUCUGCGUUCUUGGACAUAGGAGAUGAAAAUGAGGUUCAGCUGUCGAAGUCUGACGUGGUCCUCUCCUUCACAUUAGAGAUUGUUAUAAUGGAGGUGCAAGGUUUAAAGUCAGUUGCUCCCAAUCGAAUUGUCUACUGCACCAUGGAAGUGGAAGGGGGCGAGAAGCUUCAGACGGACCAAGCAGAAGCUUCCAGGCCACAAUGGGGGACUCAAGGAGAUUUCACCACUACUCACCCUCGGCCUGUUGUCAAAGUAAAACUCUUUACAGAAAGCACUGGGGUGUUGGCACUGGAAGAUAAAGAACUGGGAAGAGUAGUGUUGUAUCCAACAUCCAAUAGCCCAAAGUCACCUGAUCUGCAUAAAAUGAUAGUCCCCAAAAACAGCCAAGACAGUGACUUGAAAAUUAAACUGGCGGUGAGAAUGGAUAAACCACCUCACAUGAAGCACUGUGGAUAUUUGUACGCUCUAGGACAGAAGGUUUGGAAGCGAUGGAAAAAGCGCUACUUUGUUCUUGUUCAGGUUAGCCAGUACACAUUUGCAAUGUGCAGUUACAGAGAAAAGAAAUCUGAGCCUCAGGAACUGAUGCAACUUGAAGGAUACACUGUGGAUUAUACAGCUCCUCACACAGGUCUUCAGGGUGGUCGAAUGUUUUUCAAUGCUGUUAAAGAAGGCGAUACCGUGAUAUUUGCCAGCGAUGAUGAGCAGGAUAGAAUACUCUGGGUUCAAGCCAUGUACAGAGCCACAGGUCAAUCGUAUAAGCCUGUUCCUGCAAGUCAAGCUCAGAAGAUGAAUACUAAAGGAGGAAAUGUCGAUGCAGAUAUAUCCCCACUUUAUACAGACCGUGGUCAGAAACAUGGCAUGGAUGAGUUUAUUUCUGCUAAUCCCUGCAAAUUUGACCAUGCUUCCCUCUUUAGACUGCUUCAGAGGCAGACCUUGGAUCACAGAUUGAAUGACUCCUAUUCUUGUUUGGGUUGGUUUAGCCCAGGUCAAGUCUUUGUAUUAGAUGAAUACUGUGCUCGCUACGGAGUGAGAGGCUGUCACCGCCAUCUUUGCUAUCUCAAUGAAUUGAUUGAACAUUCAGAAAAUGGUUCUGUCAUCGAUCCAACCUUGCUCCACUAUAGUUUUGCAUUUUGUGCAUCUCAUGUUCAUGGUAACAGACCAGAUGGAAUUGGAACAGUAUCUGUUGAAGAGAAAGAAAGGUUUGAGGAAAUGAAGGACAGACUUUCGUCCCUUUUAGAAAACCAAAUAAGCCAUUUCAGAUACUGUUUCCCUUUUGGACGUCCUGAAGGAGCUCUAAAAGCCACACUUUCAUUACUUGAAAGGGUUUUAAUGAAAGAUAUUGCCACUCCCAUACCAGCAGAAGAGGUGAAGAAAGUGGUUAGAAAAUGUCUGGAGAAGGCUGCUUUGAUCAAUUACACUCGACUUACAGAAUAUGCCAAAAUAGAAGCAACAGCAGAAAAGGACUCAGAGACCAUGAACCAAGCAACACCUGCUAGAAAACUGGAAGAGGUUCUUCACCUUGCAGAACUCUGUAUCGAAGUAUUGCAGCAAAAUGAAGAACAUCAUUCAGAGGCGUUCGCUUGGUGGCCAGAAUUAUUGGCUGAGCAUGCAGAGAAGUUUUUGUCUCUGUAUUCUGUUGAUAUGGAUUCAGCACUCGAGGCACAGCCGCAGGACUCCUGGGACAGCUUCCCACUUUUCCAGCUGCUGAAUAAUGCCCUCAGAAAUGACACAUUUUUGUGCAAUGGAAAUUUUCACAAGCACUUGCAAGAAAUUUUUGUUCCCAUGGUCGUCCGCUACAUCGAUCUCAUGGAAUCAUCAAUUGCCCAGUCCAUUCACAGAGGUCUUGAACAAGAGUCGUGGCAACCUGUCAACAAUGGCUCAGCUACAUCAGAAGAUCUUUUCUGGAAACUGGAUGCUCUGCAGAUGUUUGUUUUUGAUCUUCACUGGCCAGAACCAGAAUUUGCCCACCAUUUAGAGCAGAGGCUUAAACUCAUGGCUACUGACAUGAUAGAAGCCUGCGUUAAAAGAACAAGAAUUGCAUUUGAACUCAAGCUGCAAAAGACAAACAAAUCGACGGACUUGCGUAUCCCUUUUUCUCUGUGUACAAUGUUUAAUGUCUUAGUUGAUGCCAAAAAACAGACGGCUAAACUCUGCAUACUGGAUGGAGGGCAAGAGUUUGCUAGUCAAUGGCAACAAUACCAUUCAAAAAUAGAUGACUUGAUUGAAGAAACUGUUAAAGAAAUUAUUUCACUUCUCGUUUCAAAGGUUGUUUCAGUGUUAGAAGGUGUGCUGUCUAAAUUGUCAAGAUACGACGAAGGCACUUUCUUCUCGUCAUUAGUUUCAUUCACUGUGAAAGCAGCUGCAAAAUAUGUUGACGUUCCCAAACCAGGGAUGGAUCUAGCAGAUACCUACAUUAUGUUUGUUCGACAAAACCAGGAUAUACUUCGAGAAAAGGUCAAUGAGGAAAUGUACAUAGAGAAGUUGUUUGAUGUUUGAUUUCAGCAAUCAAGCUGUUCAGCACAAGAAAACAUCUCCUGUGUGGAAGCAAGCCAUGACAUAGCACUCGCCUUUGAGGUGAUGCAAAACCGUUCCUGUCCCCUUUUGCUCAGUAAUAUGCAUUGUAUGCUGUCAUGGCCAAUGCUUGUAGCUGUAAGGAAAGAGAAAAGAUGUACGUGAUAAGUAUUCUGCGUAUCAAAUAUCUAUUUGUAUCUUUAUUUUUCUUCAUAUAUGGUGGUAUCACGUUUCUUCGUAACAUCGCACUAGGAGAUAUAACCAGUUGGACAGAAUCAGAUAAAUGCACUAACAAAUAUGUAAGCUUAUAGCUUGCAGAAAUUUAAAACAAAGGCAUCUUACUGUGUUAACUCACCUUUCCUGAGAUUAAUUCAGAUUUAGAACAGUAUGACUGAGUAAGAUUUUGCCCAUGAUUUUUGGAAGGGGUUUUUAAAUUAGUGACACAACAAAAGCUGGUACUGUUUAUAAAUUCAAUUCUAUCAAGUUAUAUUUUAAUAGAAAGAGUAAAAUAUGUUCAAGUUUUUCUGUAAAUAUACUUUAAGCCAUUUGACUGGCUACAGUUGUAGAUCACUGUUGAUAUCCCCUUACAAUACGUUAUAUUUCUAUCAGAUAUGAAACCAUCAGCCAAGUGAAAUAAGAAAAAUGUACGUCUGUGUUUCAGCCAGAAACACCUCAUCCAGAAUAACCAAAAAACCCAGACAGUUCUGUAUGCUAGAAGUGAUAGUUAUAAAUAUAGACAAGAUCAGGCCUCAGACACUAUUUCAAUCCGAAAAAUGCGUACCUACAAACUAUUUAUGGACAGAUUUCAUUGACUUGAUUCAGGGCUGCUAUAUACUGGCAGCGACCAAGAGAAUGGGAUAUCUAUCAUACGAAGUAAUGUACACAUAAAAGAGGAUCAUUUAAAUUGAAGAAUAGUAUUGAUACAAGUAGAAAUGUCUGCCAGUGGGUCACAUAUAUGUUAAGGCUAGAAGUUGGAAAUUGUUCUGUCUGAGAAAUCUCAAAUUAGGGAGAAGACGAAAACUGUGCAUUGUUUUAUGGUGCUUGAUAAGCCUGGAAAAGCACUACCAUGCUAUACAAAAUGUGAAAAAUCAGGAGAAUGGAAUUUAAGCUUGAUAGGAAUCCUUACAUAUGAGAGAGGCUCAAAUCUCCAGGGGACUUUGAAAGAAGAUUGGACUGAUAGUUAUUUCUGCACCAUUUUUAAACCAUUUAAAUCAUGCUAUUCUUCAGUACCUCUGCUGAUCAUGCAGCAGAACCAAGGUGGGAUUUUUUUUCCUUCCUUUUCUCUGAAUAACUUGGCUUCUGGGUGCAUUUCAUUCUUCACCUCCUUUGGAAGGGGUGUAGACAGCAUGCAGAACAAUGAUGCCAUCCAGAGGGACCUUGACAGGCUGGAGAGGUGGGCCCAUGUGAACCUCAUGAAGUUCCACAAGGCCAAGUGCAUGGUCCUGCACGUGGGUCGGCGCAAUCCCAAGCACAACUAUAGGCUGGGUGAGGAAUGGAUUGAAAGCAGCCCUGAGGAGAAGGACUUGGGGGUAUUGAUUGAUGAGAAGCUCCACAUGAGCCGGCAGUGUGCGCUUGCAGCCCAGAAAGCCAACCGUGUCCUGGGCUGCAUCAAAAGAGGUGUGACCAGCAGCAGGUCGAGGGAGGUGAUUCUGCCCCUCUACUCCGCUCUGGUGAGACCCCACCUGGAGUACUGCGUCCAGCUCUGGGGGCCCCAGUACAGGAGAGACAUGGAGCUGUUGGAGCGAGUCCAGAGGAGGGCCACGAAG